Molecule: ribosomal RNA, 720 nt
Filed under: Chalciporus cf. persicinus Mart03038
Lineage: Eukaryota; Fungi; Basidiomycota; Agaricomycetes; Boletales; Boletaceae
Description: eukaryotic LSU rRNA
Rfam family: 5.8S ribosomal RNA (bases 295-449)
Source: RNAcentral
UUCUUGGUCCCAUUAGAGGAAGUAAAAGUCGUAACAAGGUUUCCGUAGGUGAACCUGCGGAAGGAUCAUUAUUGAAAUCUGCUGGGGAAGCGUUGAGGGGUUGGGGUUGUCGCUGGCCUUUCAGGCAUGUGCACGCCUCGUCUCUUCGGCGUGGACCCGACUCUCAUAUACACCUGUGCACCUCUUGUAGGUUUUUCCCUCGAAAGGGGGAAGGACCUAUGUCUUUCAUAAACUCGUAUGUCUAUAGAAGGUCUAUGUUUAACGUCGUUCGCGGCGAUAAAUAUAUUAUGAAACAACUUUCAGCAAUGGAUCUCUUGGCUCUCGCAUCGAUGAAGAACGCAGCGAAUUGCGAUAAGUAAUGUGAAUUGCAGAUUUUCAGUGAAUCAUCGAAUCUUUGAACGCACCUUGCGCUCCUUGGUAUUCCUUGGAGCAUGCCUGUUUGAGUGUCAUCGAAUUCUCAACCAUGUCUCGAUUGAUUUCGAGGGCAUGGCUUGGAUCUGGGGGUUGCUGGCUUGCGCGAGCGAGUCGGCUCUCCUGAAAUGCAUUAGCAGAGGCGUAGUCCUUCGUGCACGGCCUUGGACGUGAUAAUGAUCGUCGUGGCUGGAGCGAUGGGACGUGUUGGUCGCUGCUUCGAACUCUGAUACGAUCCCUAGUGGAUCGGAUCCUUGAAACUUGACCUCAAAUCAGGUAGGACUACCCGCUGAACUUAAGCAUAUCAUA